This is a long non-coding RNA of Leptopilina heterotoma, 774 nucleotides long. RefSeq lists it as uncharacterized. Lineage: Eukaryota; Metazoa; Arthropoda; Insecta; Hymenoptera; Figitidae. The record is from RefSeq and is a predicted model, not a curated record. The transcript is spliced from 4 exons.
UAUUCAUCAAAGAAUUUAAAAAUUUGUAAAAAUAAUUUCAGUUAAUUUAACCAUACGAGCGUUGAUCUAAUCAUAUGCAUGGCAGAUGCGAUUAAAUAGAAGGUUUUUUAACCUACAUUUCAGUGACAGCUUAAACAUAAUUCUCAACCAAAAGUUUAUAGCUGAAAUUCGAACUUCUGACGGGUGGUUCAUUUUUCCCUUAAAGUAGUAACUUUAAGGAAACAAUCCCUUUCAGUAUUUUGCAGGGACUGAUCAAGAGCGGAAAAAAAUGCCGUAGCGAUCUUUCAAAAUUGAGAGCCUUCUCGAAGGAGAGCCGAGUAAAAUUGAGGUUGGUGGAUGUUCUUUGUCUGCAGAAACGAAGGUGCGCCGUGCCAUUAUGGAUUUCUCAAUAAAGGAAGCUCAGGUCAGAAACGUGGGCAGCAUAGAACUGGAGCGUCUCCUGUUUACUUCAAGUGACGGGCACUCGUUUCCUUUGCUUUCACCACGAGUCGACGUACAGUUCACGACAUUAAUAUUUCGCCAUAUAAAUUUCCAGCAGUGUAUGAGUCGAAAAAGAAACUAAACAAAUACUUAAAGUUUAAUACUUCUUAACAGUGAUCAAUUAAAUUUACCACAUCAGUGAAUGUGUCAGUUAAAAAAAUCUUUUUUGUCAAAAUUUUUUUUCUGAUUAUUGUCGACGUUCAAAGUUAUAAAACUUGUAUAACUGCGUCACGUCCUCGUGAUGUGUAUUAAAUUAUAUUUUUUACAUAAUGAAAUUAAUUUGUUCUAAAAUCA